AGCUGACCACCGGGAGCUCCGAAUGGCUAGGAGAUGAUUCCAUGUGACCAUGAUUGGCUGUGAGGGCUGGGAUACAGGAGGAGGCUGGGAGUGAGGAAGAUGGAUGGAUAAGAAAGAUCUGUUGGGUUGAGGCCAGUCCUUCAAGAUCAGAGGGAUCCAUGGAUGUUUUCUUCAAAUGCAAAUGGGAAGAAAAAGGGAGGCUCUUCCCGGAUUUCCACUGAUGGGUUUUCAGUCCAAGGCCCGGAAGUCUGUUUGGAUCCCAAGUUCGACCGAACUGUCGUUGACUCAGACCUUUUGAACGAAGACUUUGCUGACGCUCAGCUAAGUUUCGAAAUCAGUCACGGAGGAGUUUGGCAAAGUCCAAGGUUACAACGAAUAAAGUCAAAUGGUCCAUUUUACUAUUUUCCAUCAGCCACCAUCUCAUGGCCCACACGGCUUCUCUACAGAUGCACUUGUCUUCUUCCAGAAGCUGGCUGAUAGAUGACCAUUUGGAUAUCCUGAAGUUCCAGAGCGAUUGAGUCUUUUGAGAGGAAGGAAAGGAGAUGUCAUCAUUGAAGAACAAAUUCGGCAGCUCCUCCGGGUCACGCACUAGAACUGCACAGAGAAACUCUUUUUUGAGUUUUCUCUGCAAAGCCUUCUCAUUCUCCAACCUAUUAACUUGCAACAAUGGAAAUAAUCGCAGUCAAGACGGGUGUGGGAAGUUUAAUUUCCCUCCAUGCUCUCCGACUUUGAAGAAACCAGCUCCAAACCCAUAGCCAACAGGGUAUUAAAAUUCAUGAAUGCGCAUAUAAUAUAAUUUUGAUCUACAAAGUUUUUCAGGUUUUGUUGUCAGCUCCUAUUCUGCCACUCGCCAUCAUUAACGGGACCAACGAUGACAGAUUCACUAA
Long non-coding RNA from Tachyglossus aculeatus (Australian echidna), 887 nucleotides. RefSeq lists it as uncharacterized. The record is from RefSeq and is a predicted model, not a curated record. The transcript has 3 exons. NCBI's taxonomy places the organism in Eukaryota, Metazoa, Chordata, Mammalia, Monotremata, Tachyglossidae.